CGGGACACGUGGUAUCCUGUCUGAAUAUGGGGGGACCAUCCUCCAAGGCUAAAUACUCCUGACUGACCGAUAGUGAACCAGUACCGUGAGGGAAAGGCGAAAAGAACCCCGGCGAGGGGAGUGAAAAAGAACCUGAAACCGUGUACGUACAAGCAGUGGGAGCACAGAGCAAUCUGUGUGACUGCGUACCUUUUGUAUAAUGGGUCAGCGACUUAUAUUCUGUAGCAAGGUUAACCGAAUAGGGGAGCCGAAGGGAAACCGAGUCUUAACUGGGCGUUAAGUUGCAGGGUAUAGACCCGAAACCCGGUGAUCUAGCCAUGGGCAGGUUGAAGGUUGGGUAACACUAACUGGAGGACCGAACCGACUAAUGUUGAAAAAUUAGCGGAUGACUUGUGGCUGGGGGUGAAAGGCCAAUCAAACCGGGAGAUAGCUGGUUCUCCCCGAAAGCUAUUUAGGUAGCGCCUCGUGAAUUCAUCUCCGGGGGUAGAGCACUGUUUCGGCAAGGGGGUCAUCCCGACUUACCAACCCGAUGCAAACUGCGAAUACCGGAGAAUGUUAUCACGGGAGACACACGGCGGGUGCUAACGUCCGUCGUGAAGAGGGAAACAACCCAGACCGCCAGCUAAGGUCCCAAAGUCAUGGUUAAGUGGGAAACGAUGUGGGAAGGCCCAGACAGCCAGGAUGUUGGCUUAGAAGCAGCCAUCAUUUAAAGAAAGCGUAAUAGCUCACUGGUCGAGUCGGCCUGCGCGGAAGAUGUAACGGGGCUAAACCAUGCACCGAAGCUGCGGCAGCGACGCUUAUGCGUUGUUGGGUAGGGGAGCGUUCUGUAAGCCUGCGAAGGUGUGCUGUGAGGCAUGCUGGAGGUAUCAGAAGUGCGAAUGCUGACAUAAGUAACGAUAAAGCGGGUGAAAAGCCCGCUCGCCGGAAGACCAAGGGUUCCUGUCCAACGUUAAUCGGGGCAGGGUGAGUCGACCCCUAAGGCGAGGCCGAAAGGCGUAGUCGAUGGGAAACAGGUUAAUAUUCCUGUACUUGGUGUUACUGCGAAGGGGGGACGGAGAAGGCUAUGUUGGCCGGGCGACGGUUGUCCCGGUUUAAGCGUGUAGGCUGGUUUUCCAGGCAAAUCCGGAAAAUCAAGGCUGAGGCGUGAUGACGAGGCACUACGGUGCUGAAGCAACAAAUGCCCUGCUUCCAGGAAAAGCCUCUAAGCAUCAGGUAACAUCAAAUCGUACCCCAAACCGACACAGGUGGUCAGGUAGAGAAUACCAAGGCGCUUGAGAGAACUCGGGUGAAGGAACUAGGCAAAAUGGUGCCGUAACUUCGGGAGAAGGCACGCUGAUAUGUAGGUGAAGUCCCUCGCGGAUGGAGCUGAAAUCAGUCGAAGAUACCAGCUGGCUGCAACUGUUUAUUAAAAACACAGCACUGUGCAAACACGAAAGUGGACGUAUACGGUGUGACGCCUGCCCGGUGCCGGAAGGUUAAUUGAUGGGGUUAGCGCAAGCGAAGCUCUUGAUCGAAGCCCCGGUAAACGGCGGCCGUAACUAUAACGGUCCUAAGGUAGCGAAAUUCCUUGUCGGGUAAGUUCCGACCUGCACGAAUGGCGUAAUGAUGGCCAGGCUGUCUCCACCCGAGACUCAGUGAAAUUGAACUCGCUGUGAAGAUGCAGUGUACCCGCGGCAAGACGGAAAGACCCCGUGAACCUUUACUAUAGCUUGACACUGAACAUUGAGCCUUGAUGUGUAGGAUAGGUGGGAGGCUUUGAAGUGUGGACGCCAGUCUGCAUGGAGCCGACCUUGAAAUACCACCCUUUAAUGUUUGAUGUUCUAACGUUGACCCGU
Molecule: ribosomal RNA, 1835 nt
Filed under: Escherichia coli
Lineage: Bacteria; Pseudomonadati; Pseudomonadota; Gammaproteobacteria; Enterobacterales; Enterobacteriaceae
Description: partial 23S ribosomal RNA
Rfam family: Bacterial large subunit ribosomal RNA
Source: RNAcentral